This 600-nucleotide ribosomal RNA is filed under the name bacterium enrichment culture clone F56x_C9_T3-_C09. RNAcentral describes it as "bacterial SSU rRNA". It matches the Rfam family "Bacterial small subunit ribosomal RNA", at positions 325 to 917 of the family's 1533-position model. The record is from RNAcentral.
GACGGCCCAGACUCCUACGGGAGGCAGCAGUAGGGAAUCUUCCGCAAUGGACGAAAGUCUGACGGAGCAACGCCGCGUGAACGAAGAAGGCCUUCGGGUCGUAAAGUUCUGUUGUUAGGGAAGAACAAGUACCAGAGUAACUGCUGGUACCUUGACGGUACCUAACCAGAAAGCCACGGCUAACUACGUGCCAGCAGCCGCGGUAAUACGUAGGUGGCAAGCGUUGUCCGGAAUUAUUGGGCGUAAAGCGCGCGCAGGUGGUUCCUUAAGUCUGAUGUGAAAGCCCACGGCUCAACCGUGGAGGGUCAUUGGAAACUGGGGAACUUGAGUGCAGAAGAGGAAAGUGGAAUUCCAAGUGUAGCGGUGAAAUGCGUAGAGAUUUGGAGGAACACCAGUGGCGAAGGCGACUUUCUGGUCUGUAACUGACACUGAGGCGCGAAAGCGUGGGGAGCAAACAGGAUUAGAUACCCUGGUAGUCCACGCCGUAAACGAUGAGUGCUAAGUGUUAGAGGGUUUCCGCCCUUUAGUGCUGCAGCUAACGCAUUAAGCACUCCGCCUGGGGAGUACGGCCGCAAGGCUGAAACUCAAAGGAANGACNGA